Molecule: non-coding RNA, 1364 nt
Organism: Lactuca sativa (garden lettuce)
Lineage: Eukaryota; Viridiplantae; Streptophyta; Magnoliopsida; Asterales; Asteraceae
Source: RefSeq, a predicted model, not a curated record
CUGACACUAAUGCCGUGCUAUUGGACCACUUUUAACUUUUUUUUUUUUUCUUUUGUUAAUAUGCUCCUGUUUGCCAGAUAGUUUGAUUCCACUGCCGAUAUAACCAAUAAAAAUUGGAUUAGUGUGCUCACUCAACGCUUCAUUCUUGAGUAUUAUGUAACCGGUUGAGCUUCCCACCGUCUCCGUCAUCAAAUGUCUUUCCAAUCUAUUCUCAGUCUUCUCUCAGACGAUCAUCAUUCACACUAAUCUUGCAUUUUCAAUCCGGCUCCAACCAUGUUCGAUUGUCUUUCCAAUGCCGACUGCGACGAAACUCCCACUUAUCUCUCUCUUUCCGCUUCGGAUUAGGGUAUGUUGUUUGUGGUUUUUAUCGCUCGUCCCAAUGCCUUGCUCUUACGACAAUCGAUAGAUUGUUGCUGAAAAUUGAUUGGUAUUUGUUUCUCCUUCUCCACCGUCCACUAAAUCGAUGUGUUGUUCUGAUUUGAAGCUCACAAACCUUGGGAUUGGACUUUCUUUCAUGGGGGGAUACCAGCCGUAAGGUUGAAUAAAUGUUGCAACGUUUGCGCACCACGUGUUUGUUAAAAGUCUUGAGUGAACCUUUUAAAGUCUUGGGUCUUCAAAUGUUGUUUGAUGUUGCUACAGGCUUAUUUUCUUAUAGAAUAACCAACAAUCAAAAUCCGAGGUAGGGAGUAGCCCAUGCGAAGCAAUCAAAAUUGAGCCUUUGUCAUCUAAUCGAUUGUGAAUGAGGUCAAAUAUAAUGUAAAAUUCUAAAUUAUGAUUUUCAACAGGAAAAUCAGUUAGGUAAAGACAAGGAACAACCGGAGAAGCUUGUAAGAUUUUAUCUUGCCAAUAGCGCCAAUACAGACAACAAUCCAGCUGGAUAGAAAAAAUAUGCAUCAACGCCAACCAUAGUGUGUGAUAUGCGACCCACAUGGACCAUGCUACUCUCGGGUCAAGUACAUACCAAUGAUAGUUAUGGGCUUAGACACCUAAUCCAACAAUAGUGUGUGAUUGUGAAAGAACUUUAGGAUGAAAAAGAGUUGGUUUAAGAAAUGAAAGUAUCUCUGUUAUGUUUGGACCAAGCAGUAAACUCUUAACUCAUAUGAAAAGAGUAAGGUAGCUCAACGACUAAUAUGAAUACAACCUAAUUGGGAAGGAAUUUCCAUGAUGAAAUGUCCAUUAAGGAUUUUGAACACAUAUAGAGUCAUCGAGGCUUUGGUCAACAUGCUGCAGCAUGCUUCUAACGACAUCUUAACUAAUACAUAGUUUCGAAAAUGUACUUUCCCUAGAAAGCAAGAUCAACCUACGGGCUUCAAAAAUCUUCGUGAAAAUCUGUACACGAAAAAGAUAAAACAAAAAAAAAGUAU